CGGCAGAGCAAGACGUAGUUUCAUCGUGUUGAGCUGGUAACUCCUCUAAAAGUUAGUUCCAGGUAUUUUUCUUUGUUUUUUUUGCACUGUGGAGACUUUUCCCGCUGAGAAAGCAGAGAUAAACUGCUGAGUGAUAUCUCUCUUUCUGUUUUCCGUUGGAUUAAGCUCCGGUUGUGUUUUUGUACUGUUGAAGUAGAUGCUGAACGGUGAGCCAGAUUCCAGUGAGCUUCGUAAAGUGAGGAGUGGAUCAGCGUGGAGGGUGGCAGACCAGUGGCGUAGUCUAGUUUUUUCUAGACUAGUGCUGUUAUUGCCUCAUCUGAAGUUCAACCAUUUGAAGAACGUUGGUGUAAAGCAGCAUGAACUUGAUCACUCUGGGAUCACAGGACUGGUGUCUGAGACCUGGUUUUAAAGAUCAUCAUUACAAAUCACUUUAUAAGUGAAAGAAGCUCUCCUCUCUCAGAUGACAGACAUGACUGGCUUCUUAUCAGCAUGUGCAGAAAGAUACCACAACAAAACAGAACAGAAAAUGAAAAUAAGUUCAGCCCAUCCUGUCCCUACAGGUUGGAAAUGCUGUGUUUAGUUUACGGCUCUCAAACCCUCCAUACCUCGGUGGUAAAGAGCGGUGAGGAACCCCGGCCGGUCGUUGCCCUGAAACAGC
Molecule: long non-coding RNA, 658 nt
Organism: Amphiprion ocellaris (clown anemonefish)
Lineage: Eukaryota; Metazoa; Chordata; Actinopteri; Pomacentridae
Exons: 5
Source: RefSeq, a predicted model, not a curated record